AGUCUGAAUCCUAACAAGAGCCGACUUUUGGAGGUUGAACUUUCUAAAUGCAGGAGUGUAAAAAUUCUUUGUCUGACGGAAACAUGGUCAAAUUCGGCCUCGAUAAACAGUAAUAGUAUCGAUGAAUUUAAAUUGAUCGCAAUGAAGUUCAAUUAGAAAGAGAGGUUAAUAUUUUAAUGACGAAUCUCCAAUCCUGGUUUUCCACCAACAACAUUUAUAUAAACUCUGAAAAAACACAAGUUAUAAGAUUUCGUAAUCGCCAAAACACCUGUCUUAUGGUAGAUACAAACCUCAACUUUAAGUCACAUGCCAAAAUACUGGUUCCAAAAUUAAACUCACU
Long non-coding RNA from Zophobas morio, 340 nucleotides. RefSeq lists it as uncharacterized. The transcript has 3 exons. The record is from RefSeq and is a predicted model, not a curated record. NCBI's taxonomy places the organism in Eukaryota, Metazoa, Arthropoda, Insecta, Coleoptera, Tenebrionidae.